Long non-coding RNA from Lycium barbarum (goji berry), 706 nucleotides. RefSeq lists it as uncharacterized. The record is from RefSeq and is a predicted model, not a curated record. The transcript is spliced from 3 exons. NCBI's taxonomy places the organism in Eukaryota, Viridiplantae, Streptophyta, Magnoliopsida, Solanales, Solanaceae.
UCUAGUAAAUUAAAAGUCACUCCUUAUUCUUACUAGUUAAAUCCCUAAAUUCAGCCCCUUUUCUUAAUUAUUUGAAAUUGGCGCUUAAAAUCCUUAGUAAUCUUAUUCUAAUUGAACUAGUAUCUUCUCAAAUCCGCUAAACACCCACGCACACUUCCACGUCUCUAAACACUCGAACUAGCGUCUUCCAAUUCAGUAAAACGAGUUGAAAUCACACCUGUCUGCUUGUAAGCUUCCGGGAAGAAUUUUUCCUAUACCUAAUGCAUCUGUACAAAGAGGUCUUCUUGUGAGUGUUUAAUUUAUCGUGAGUGUUCAUCAAUACCUUCGUCGCACCAGUAACUCUUAUCUGUUCUGAUAAAGUGAUGAAGAUGUGGAAACAUUAACAGUGGGAGAAGCAUCUAUGCUUUUGUUCCUCCUUUUUGAUAAGAUUCAUUGUAAAGAAUAAAGAGGUGGGUUUGAAUUGCACGCCAAAGGAAUGAAGAUAGUAUUGAAGCCAAGGAGGUAAAGAUGGAAAGAGAACGAUAAUAAAUGGAGACAAUGGUUGUGAUUUUCCUUCGGAUCAACCUUAAUAUACUGAGAAUUAAUGUUAUUAGACAUGUAUUAUCUCAUUUGUAAACACGUUCUUCAUAUUUGAGAUUAAUGGUACUGUUUGAGACAUUAAUACAAGAUUUAUAUAUAAAUAUGUGUUACCAAUGAUUUGUUACAA